Molecule: ribosomal RNA, 324 nt
Filed under: uncultured eukaryote
Lineage: Eukaryota
Description: partial 18S ribosomal RNA
Rfam family: Eukaryotic small subunit ribosomal RNA
Source: RNAcentral
CCCUUAGAUACUCUGGGCCGCACGCGCGCUACACUGGUCGAUGCAACGAGUUUCUUUCCUUGGCCGACAGGCCUGGGCAAUCUUUGAACAUCGAUCGUGAUCGGGAUAGAUUCUUGUAAUUUUUGAUCUUAAACGAGGAAUUCCUAGUAAACGCAAGUCAUCAGCUUGCAUUGAUUACGUCCCUGCCCUUUGUACACACCGCCCGUCGCACCUACCGAUUGAAUGGUCCGGUGAAAUCUCCGGACUGGCGUGAGUCGGAGCAAUCUGACAAACACCGGAAAGUUGAUUAAACCUUACCAUUUAGAGGAAGGUGAAGUCGUAACA